CUGGCACCUUGACGGUACCUAACCAGAAAGCCACGGCUAACUACGUGCCAGCAGCCGCGGUAAUACGUACGUGGCAAGCGUUAUCCGGAAUUAUUGGGCGUAAAGCGCGCGCAGGUGGUUUCUUAAGUCUGAUGUGAAAGCCCACGGCUCAACCGUGGAGGGUCAUUGGAAACUGGGAGACUUGAAUGCAGAAGAGGAAAGUGGAAUUCCAUGUGUAGCGGUGAAAUGCGUAGAGAUAUGGAGGAACACCAGUGGCGAAGGCGACUUUCUGGUCUGUAACUGACACUGAGGCGCGAAAGCGUGGGGAGCAAACAGGAUUAGAUACCCUGG
RNAcentral lists this ribosomal RNA (330 nucleotides) under Bacillus cereus. RNAcentral's name for it is "bacterial SSU rRNA". It matches the Rfam family "Bacterial small subunit ribosomal RNA", at positions 461 to 790 of the family's 1533-position model. The record is from RNAcentral. Lineage: Bacteria; Bacillati; Bacillota; Bacilli; Caryophanales; Bacillaceae.